RNAcentral lists this long non-coding RNA (866 nucleotides) under Homo sapiens (human). RNAcentral's name for it is "non-protein coding lnc-SINHCAF-2:1". Lineage: Eukaryota; Metazoa; Chordata; Mammalia; Primates; Hominidae. The record is from RNAcentral.
AUAUUCUGAUGUAUAUGGAUAGUGCUUUCUAGGCCAUACUGUGGUACCUGGUCACUUUUUAACAUAAAGGGGGAAAGCUGCUGAUUAUAUAAUUAAAUCAGACAAACCACAUCAUUUAAGCAUUAAAAAACCUCCUUUGAAGCCUGAAUUCUUGGUUUUCCCAUUAUAUCAGCCAGAUACCUUGUCAAACGGUGCCUUUUGUUUUAUAGGCAUUAUAUAUGCAACUUAGAUUACUGCCUUUUUCCUUUAUUCCUGUGCUCAUAAGCAUACCCCGAAUCCCUAAAAAAAAACCCCCGAUUUUCUUCUUUUUCUUGAUUAUACAACUUCUAAAAGAUUGCUUUGGGCUGGGCGCAGUGGCUCAUGCCUAUAAAUCCAGCACUUUGGGAGGCCAAGGUGGGCGGAUUACCUGACGUCAGGAGUUCAAGACCAGCCUGGCCAACAUGGUGAAACCCCGUCUCUACUAAAAAUACAAAAAUUAGCGGGGCGUGGUGGCAGCUGCCUGUAAUCCCAGGUACUGAGGUCGGCGAAUCGCUUGAACCCAGGAAGCUGAGGUGACAUGGCUGGACUGCAGUGGCAUACUCAUUGCUCACUGCAGCCUCAACUUCCCAGGCUCAAGUGGUCUUUCCACCUCAGCCUCUUUAGUAGCUGGGACUACAGGUGUGUACCACCAUGUCCCAUGAAUUUUUUGUAUUUUUUGUAGAGAUGAGGUCCUACUAUGUUGCCUAGGCCGGUCUUGAACUCUUGUCUCAGGUGAUUCACCUGCCUCAGCCUCCCAAAGUAAGCCACUGCCCCCAGCCAAUUUUCAUUAUUUUGCAAAUAGUUUGAUGUUAUAUUUGUUUUCCUCUUUGACUUAAUAUUAUUUUAUU